Tribolium madens (black flour beetle) is the source of this 4084-nucleotide RNA transcript. It is a transcript of the gene named DNA-directed RNA polymerase III subunit RPC8, with no coding region annotated. The transcript is spliced from 9 exons. Lineage: Eukaryota; Metazoa; Arthropoda; Insecta; Coleoptera; Tenebrionidae. The record is from RefSeq and is a predicted model, not a curated record.
GUGAGGCGAUUAAUAGGGUUGGCAACAUGAAACAUCUUAUAUCUCCAUAGCAACGCUCAAUUGUUUUUUUGUGUGAAACUUGAAAAUUGUUGUUUUUGUGCAAAAAUUGGCUUUUUACACCGAAAAAGCUGUUUUGAGGCUAUUGGAAGGGUAUUUUAAAGGUUUGACCCCCACAAAUGGGGCCUAAGUGGCGACUUUGAGUUAUUGUUGGCCCUGAAUCAAUCAAACAAGUGGUGUAUCAAAAGUACUUUUCCGGCCCAUAAUACAGCCCCUCACACACGGGAUCCCCCCUCAUGGCUUUCCUCCAUUCCCUCAAACGUGGAAACUGAUCAGAAGCAAAUGGCAAUUGUCGUCCGUGUGCAAUAACAACAGUUCCUGCCCUUUCGCCCCACGGCCACAACAUGUAAUCCACCAUUCCUGGUUUCUCACCCCCGAAAAACCUACUCCCUCUCUGGCACAACUCCAUUUCAAAUGUUUGCAAAUGAGGGAGGAAUUCUUGUGCCCACUCUUCGAGUGAUUUAUUCUCGUUUAGAGAGAUGCAACGGAGGAAGACACUAUGCAAGGGUUGGAUUUUUUUGAUGGCUGAAAUGAAGAAUGUGACACGAAUCCCUCCCGAGUUGUUCAAUUUGAAACUAAACGACGCUAUAGCCGGCGAACUGAACAAAAAACUAGCGAAUAAAGUUGUGCUCAAUGUUGGUCUGUGUAUAGCUUUGUACGACAUUACUAGUCUCCAAGAGUCGUACAUAUUCCCCGGCGAUGGGGCCUCUCACACCAGAGUCAGCUUCAGAUACAUCGUUUUUCGCCCCUUUAUCGAGGAGAUUUUAGUGGGGAAAAUCCGGAGUUGUAGCCAGGAGGGGGUUCAUGUGACUCUUGGUUUUUUCGACGACAUUUUGAUCCCCCCCAGUGCCCUCCAACACCCGUCCAAAUUCAACGAGACGGAACAGGCAUGGGUGUGGGAGUAUGAUACGGGAGAUGGGUGCAAACACGACCUUUUUAUGGACGCCGGUGAAACUAUAAAGUUUCGCGUAACAGCCGAAUUUUUCAAUGAGACUUGCCCCACAGGGAGUUUACAAGAAACGCAAGACAAGUCGGAGAAUAAAGUCCCUUAUAGUUUGACUGGGAGUAUAAAUGAGCCAGGUUUGGGGUUGCUGUCAUGGUGGGACACUUGAGAUUUUCGGCGAUGAGUUCGACGCCGUCGUCGGUGAUUUUGCUGCAACCGGAGAGACUGAGGACUGUCAGAUUUGGGAGAGAGUGAACUAGAAUUUGAUUGGUUAAUUUUUUGUCGACAAACCGAAAAUGUAGUUACCGAUAUUUACAACACCAUGAUUGGUGAUUUCCCAGCACGAAUGUAGUCUGAGGACAUUGAGUGAGUUGCUUUGUUUUGGGGAGAAGUAACCCAAAGCUGCGUCGGUGACGUGGUAGGCCUGGAGGGAGAAUUCGUAUAAUGCGGGGAGGAGUUGAGCCACGGCGCCGACAGCCUCAUCGGCGACAUUUAUGCAGUCGCUUAGUGUCAAAGACACGAUUCGGGGGUUGAGACAGGCCCAUAAACCAGCCUCGGUUAUCUCAUUGCAUCCCGCCAACUCCAACUCGUAUAACGCCUGAAAAAAAAAACAACUUUUAACAAAAAUGAAGGGAAUUUAUUGCAUUGUUUACUGGUAAUUAAGGAGAUGGUUUGUUUCAUGGUUAACAUGUCUAACCGCUGUAUCGAUCGUAGGCUAAUUUAGUAAAAUUACACAAAUCUGAGCGUAGAAUUUCGCAAAGUCACCCUUGAAUCGAAACUUGGCUUCUCUUAUUUCCUAAAGGUCAAAAGAGAAUCUUGACUGGGAAACAACAUAAUGACCUUUGGAAAACAGCUUCCGAUUGCACUUUAUCUCAUGAUUUAAGGGCAAAAAACUUCAACCCUUUCCGACCUCAAUGGUUCGGAUAAUUAUAUUUUAUAGCAUCUUUGUGUGCUAAUUGUUCAUUUCUGAGCUAACCGGAUUUUCCACUGCUUUAACUCCGAAAUAAAAUCAAUGUGUCUGCAAGAUAAAUGCUUCACUGGGCUGUCAUAGGCAUAGUGUUAUUUAAUUAGUAAAUUUUUUCAAUGAUUUUUACAAUAAACAAAUUUUAAUUCAGUUUUUGAUAGGCAACCAGUUAUACACAUGCAAAGUAAACGUUAAUUUUUUAUCUGUUCCUAUGCGGUUUUAGAUCGAUUAUUAAUUUUCUCUAGAGUUCCUACAUUUAAACUAAUAUAGGCAUUCUAGUUUUUUCAAUUUUUAAGGCCAUGAAAAUAAAAAACAAGGUCAUGAAAUAAACACGAAAUGUAUUUAGAAAUAAAAAAAAUAAAAACUUCCAAGUUCACUAUCGUAAUCUACUCGUAGAAGGAGAGGAAGAGUUUUAAAGUAAAAGUAUUUCAUUUUCUCGAUUCAAAAAGUCGCUAAAAUAAAAUUUUAUGAAAGACUACAAAUCGAGUAAAAUAUAGCCAAAAAUUGUUCUUUACUUUUUUUGUUUAAGUUUUUCAUAUUGUCGCUGGGAUUGUUUUGAAUAUAAAACAAGACCUUGAGGAGGUUAAAGUUAGAAAUUAUUGAAAUUAAAAAAUUCUAAUACUUUUCAAAAAAAUUAAGUAAAAUAUAGUAAAAAUAUGCUUAAAAUCUGAGUGGUUAAAAUUAAAAUUUGUUAAAAUAAUAAUUUUUCAUUCUUAUUGUGGUUUAUUUAAGGCCUGUUUUACAUUUUUAUGUCAGUCGAAUGACAAAUCAUCCAAAAUUACUUACAAAAAAUGACGCGAAAAUUAUUAUGUAUUUUUGAUCAUUUCCAAACCAACCGGAUUUACCGCUGCUUUAACUCCGAAAUAAAAAUCAAUGAAAUGUUGUUUCUAUAAAGAUAAAUGGUUCACUGGGCUUUUAAAUACGUUUCACAGAAAAAAGUUAUUAAUGAUGUCGAGACGUCUUCAAUUUAUAUUAAAAUUCUUUGCACAAUAAACUAGAAAAUAGCGUCGGGAUAUUGUUAUUUAAAUACAAUUUUUUUUCAGUUUUCAAAUUACAUUAAUGACGAUUUUUAUAAAAAAAAAAAUCAGAUUUUAUGUGUACUUUUAAAAAAUGAUGGGUUAAUGCAGUUUUUGGUAUGCAACCAGUUAUACACAAACGUAUACAAUUUAUUGGUAAAUCUAAGAAAUACAUUGGUAAAAAGAGACAAACUACAUAUUCCAAUGGAAAAAAGUAGUUCCAUCUUUUUCAACUGCUGUAUAUUUCGACUAUUUCUGUUUUAAAAUAAAAAAAUAAAAAUUUCAAGUUCACCAUUGUAGUUCUAGUUAUUUCCAAGAAAAGUUGUAAUUAACCUCAUUAUUAAUUGUAAUUAAAUUAAAGUAUACGGGGUGCCCAUUUUAUUUGUUCCUGCCUGAAGAAGGAAAGAUAGGCAACAUAAUAUACAUCUCAAACUAAAUAUUUUAUACAUAUAAAGUAUUAACAAUUCUAAAUCGAAUAAUUAUAGUCGGUGCUUGACUAUCGAAAACUUAAAAAAAAUUAAAUUCAAAACUCAAAUGUAUAAUAAUAAUGGGAACAACAGCAAGAACUUAACAAAUUAUGGUAUUCUUGGUUGCCUAUUUAUGAAAUUUAAGGGGACAACCUGCAGACAUUUAAAGGGCUUAAGUUAUUACUAACAUAAAAUUGUGUUUUUUUUGUAAAUUGUAACGUUAAUUUACUUUUUAUGAGUCAAUAUUGAUUAAAGUUUGGUAUGAUCAAGCAGCGACUCCAGUCCCCGAUCGGUGAUGCUCGAACACCUCAAACUCACCGUAUGUAUAUGUUUCGAGGCUAACGGAAACGAAUUAAUAAGAUCGAGUGCAUCUUCAUCGGAAGCCCCCAUCAAGCACAAAUUAUGAAACCCUCUCCUGAGCAGUGACGCAUACAAUCUCGAUCGUUCAUUCCCUUGCGCCCCUCUCAUCUCGCGACACUGCAGCACGGGCACCAGCCCCGUCCAGAACCUCGGCGCCCUAUACAGCACAUCCCUCCACCUGGUGCACACCUGCGCCAACACACACCGCUCGCAGGGACUGAAAUAGAGGAAGAACCUGGCGAGGAACUUGUCGUCGACCAUCAACUGCUCCCAUGGC